CCAAUCAAUGGUCUUAUACCAAUCUCCUAAAACAAAAUGGGAUAUCAGAUGCCACUCAAUGGACUUACACUAAUCUCCACAGGCAAAGAAAUAAAAGCGGAUACCGGAUACCAAUAGAUGGAUUUACACCAGUCUCCUAAAACAGAAAUGGAUAUCAGAUGCCACUCAAUGGACUUACACUAAUCUCCACAGAAGAAAACAAGAAAUGG
This 209-nucleotide long non-coding RNA is filed under the name Lathyrus oleraceus (garden pea). Its description in RNAcentral is "Pisum sativum (pea) long non-coding RNA (PSAT_LNC038600)". The record is from RNAcentral. Lineage: Eukaryota; Viridiplantae; Streptophyta; Magnoliopsida; Fabales; Fabaceae.